GGGAAUAUUAGUAAUGGGCGAAAGCCUGAACUAGCAACGCCGCGUGUGCGAAGAAGGCCUUCGGGUUGUAAAGCACUUUUAGAGAGGAUGAGGAAGGACGGUACUCUCAGAAUAGGUCUCGGCUAACUACGUGCCAGCAGCCGCGGUAACACGUAGGAGGCGAACGUUAUCCGGAUUUACUGGGCGUAAAGCGCGUGUAGGUGGUUUGGUAAGUAGGGCGUGAAAGCUCCCGGCUCAACUGGGAGAGGCCGUUCUAAACUGCCAAGCUAGAGGAUGGUAGAGGGAGGUGGAAUUCCGGGUGUAGCGGUGGAAUGCGCAGAUAUCCGGAGGAACACCAGUGGCGAAGGCGGCCUCCUGGGCCACUCCUGACACUCAGACGCGAAAGCCAGGGUAGCAAACGG
This 401-nucleotide ribosomal RNA is filed under the name uncultured bacterium. RNAcentral's name for it is "bacterial SSU rRNA". It matches the Rfam family "Bacterial small subunit ribosomal RNA", at positions 357 to 775 of the family's 1533-position model. The record is from RNAcentral.